ACAUGCAAGUCGAGCGGACUGAGGGGGAGCUUGCUCCCCUGACGUCAGCGCGAACGGGUGAGUAACACCUGGGCAACCUACCUAUAAGAUUGGGAUAACUUCGGGAAACCGGAGCUAAUACCGGAUAAUCCUUUUCACCUCAUGGUGAAAAGCUGAAAGAUGGCUUCGGCUAUCACUUAUAGAUGGGCCCGCGGCGCAUUAGCUAGUUGGUGAGGUAACGGCUCACCAAGGCGACGAUGCGUAGCCGACCUGAGAGGGUGAUCGGCCACACUGGGACUGAGACACGGCCCAGACUCCUACGGGAGGCAGCAGUAGGGAAUCUUCCGCAAUGGACGAAAGUCUGACGGAGCAACGCCGCGUGAGCGAAGAAGGCCUUCGGGUCGUAAAGCUCUGUUGUUAGGGAAGAACAAGUACCGUUCGAAUAGGGCGGUACCUUGACGGUACCUAACCAGAAAGCCACGGCUAACUACGUGCCAGCAGCCGCGGUAAUACGUAGGUGGCAAGCGUUGUCCGGAAUUAUUGGGCGUAAAGCGCGCGCAGGCGGUUUCUUAAGUCUGAUGUGAAAGCCCACGGCUCAACCGUGGAGGGUCACUUGGAAACUGGGAGACUUGAGUGCAGAAGAGGAAACGCGGAAUUCCAAGUGUAGCGGUGAAAUGCGUAGAGAUUUGGAGGAACACCAUGUGGCGGAAGUCGUGCUUUGCUGCUACUGUAACUGAAC
RNAcentral lists this ribosomal RNA (718 nucleotides) under Bacillus sp. L795. RNAcentral's name for it is "bacterial SSU rRNA". It matches the Rfam family "Bacterial small subunit ribosomal RNA", at positions 53 to 751 of the family's 1533-position model. The record is from RNAcentral. Lineage: Bacteria; Bacillati; Bacillota; Bacilli; Caryophanales; Bacillaceae.